UACGUAGGUGGCAAGCGUUGUCCGGAUUUACUGGGCGUAAAGGGCGUGCAGGCGGUCUGUUAAGUUCAGGGUGAAAGCCCCCGGCUCAACUGGGGAGGGUCACUCGAUACUGAUCGACUCGAAGGCAGGAGAGGGAAGCGGAAUUCCCGGUGUAGUGGUGAAGUGCGUAGAUAUCGGGAGGAACACCAGUGGCGAAGGCGGCUUUCUGGCCUGUUCUUGACGCUGAGGCGCGAAAGCUAGGGUAGCAAACGGG
RNAcentral lists this ribosomal RNA (253 nucleotides) under uncultured bacterium. RNAcentral describes it as "partial 16S ribosomal RNA". It matches the Rfam family "Bacterial small subunit ribosomal RNA", at positions 524 to 776 of the family's 1533-position model. The record is from RNAcentral.